RNAcentral lists this ribosomal RNA (197 nucleotides) under uncultured bacterium. RNAcentral's name for it is "partial 16S ribosomal RNA". It matches the Rfam family "Bacterial small subunit ribosomal RNA", at positions 328 to 539 of the family's 1533-position model. The record is from RNAcentral.
ACGCUCGACACCUACGGAGGCAGCAGUGGGGAAUAUUGCACAAUGGGGGAAACCCUGAUGCAGCGACGCCGCGUGAGUGAAGAAGUAUUUCGGUAUGUAAAGCUCUAUCAGCAGGGAAGAAAAUGACGGUACCUGACUAAGAAGCCCCGGCUAACUACGUGCCAGUAGCCGCGGUAAUCUGAGCGGGCUGGCAAGGC